AACUAACGCUGGCGGCGUGCCUAACACAUGCAAGUCGAACGAGAAAGUUGGCUUCGGCCGAUGAGUAAAGUGGCGCACGGGCGAGUAACGCGUGGAUAAUCUGCCCUUUAGUUUGGAAUAACGUACCGAAAGGUGCGCUAAUACCGGAUAAUACUGAAUGACUACUGUCGUUUAGUCAAAGAAGGCUUCUGUUUACAUGCUUUUGCUGAAGGAUGAGUCCGCGUACCAUUAGCUAGUUGGUAGGGUAAUGGCCUACCAAGGCGACGAUGGUUAGCUGGUCUGAGAGGAUGAUCAGCCACACUGGAACUGAGACACGGUCCAGACUCCUACGGGAGGCAGCAGUGAGGAAUAUUGCGCAAUGGGGGCAACCCUGACGCAGCAACGCCGCGUGAGUGAGGAAGGUUUUCGGACCGUAAAGCUCUGUCGAGCGGGAAGAAAUGCAUGGUGGCUAAUAUCCAUCAUGCUUGACGGUACCGCUAAAGGAAGCACC
This 490-nucleotide ribosomal RNA is filed under the name uncultured bacterium. Its description in RNAcentral is "bacterial SSU rRNA". It matches the Rfam family "Bacterial small subunit ribosomal RNA", at positions 29 to 494 of the family's 1533-position model. The record is from RNAcentral.